Molecule: ribosomal RNA, 468 nt
Filed under: uncultured bacterium
Lineage: Bacteria
Description: partial 16S ribosomal RNA
Rfam family: Bacterial small subunit ribosomal RNA
Source: RNAcentral
GACGAACGCUGGCGGCGUGCUUAACACAUGCAAGUCGAACGGAAAGGCCCUGCUUUUGUCUGGUGCUCGAGUGGCGAACGGGCGAGUAACACGUGAGUAACCUGCCCUCGCCUUUGGGAGAACUUCAGGAAACUGGGGACAAUACCUGAUACGAGCUCCUUCUGCAUGGCGGCGGUUGGAAAGUUUCGGCGGCUGGGGAUGGACGCGUGGCUUAUCAGCUUGUUGGUGGGGUAGUGGCUUACCAAGGCUUUGACGGGUAGCCGGCCUGAGAGGGUGACCGGCCACAUAGGGACUGAGAUACGGGCAAGAGUCCUACGGGAGGCAGCAGUGGGGGAUAUUGGGCAAUGGGCGGAAGCCUGAUGCAGCAACGCCGCGUGGGGGAGGACGGCCUUCGGGUUGUAAACCGCUUUCGCCUGUGACGAAGCGUGAGUGACGGUAAUGGGUAAAGAAGCACCGGCUAACUACGUG